This 494-nucleotide ribosomal RNA is filed under the name uncultured bacterium. Its description in RNAcentral is "partial 16S ribosomal RNA". It matches the Rfam family "Bacterial small subunit ribosomal RNA", at positions 28 to 507 of the family's 1533-position model. The record is from RNAcentral.
GACGAACGCUGGCGGCGCGCUUAACACAUGCAAGUCGAACGGAAAGGCCUGCUUUCCCUUGUGGAUUGCGGGUACUCGAGUGGCGAACGGGUGAGUAACACGUGAGUGAUCUGCCCCCAACUUGGGUAUAAGCCUGGGAAACUGGGUCUAAUUCCCGAUAGGACUGCAGGGUGGUGCCUGUGGUGGAAAACGAUUUUCUAGUGGUUGGGGAUGAGCUCGCGGCCUAUCAGCUUGUUGGUGGGGUAAUGGCCUACCAAGGCGGCGACGGGUAGCCGGCCUGAGAGGGUGGACGGCCACAUUGGGACUGAGAUACGGCCCAGACUCCGACGGGAGGCAGCAGUGGGGAAUAUUGCACAAUGGGCGGAAGCCUGAUGCAGCGACGCAGCGUGGGGGAUGACGGCCUUCGGGUUGUAAACUCCUUUCGACCGCGAGGAAGCCACCUGGUUGGAAGGGUGGUGACGGUAGUGGUAGAAGAAGCACCGGCUAACUACGUG